This 75-nucleotide transfer RNA is filed under the name Tropidothorax sinensis. RNAcentral's name for it is "tRNA-Lys". It matches the Rfam family "tRNA". From Rfam's summary of the family: Transfer RNA (tRNA) molecules are approximately 80 nucleotides in length. Their secondary structure includes four short double-helical elements and three loops (D, anti-codon, and T loops). The record is from RNAcentral. Lineage: Eukaryota; Metazoa; Arthropoda; Insecta; Hemiptera; Lygaeidae.
CAUUAAGUAGCUAAAAUGUUUUAAAGCAUUGGUCUCUUAAACCAAAUAAUAGUAUUUAACAAACACUCUUAAUGA